AUGAUAAUGGACAAUAGUGUGGAAAUAGAUUGCUCAUCUUGUAUAUUUUUCUUCCCAGGAGUUGUUAUAACUUGAUUAUGAAGGGACUAUGCUGAUGGAGUGUGAGCCGAAUCUCAGGAUUCCCUGUACAGAGCUUUCCCAUAUCAUCAAGAAGCAGGAGGGCCACAGGGGAUGGUGGAGAUGGAAACCUCAAAGCCCUGACUUGGGGUGCUCAUGUCCUGGCUAAAAGGAGAAGAAAGGAGAAGACAAAUCAAAGUCAUGAUUUUUUGAAGUCUUUCGUUAAAGCUAGUCAAUUUUCCUCUUGGUACAGGGGAAACCUGGAAGGGCACCCACAGAAUAAGUAUCAUCAAGUUGGGCAAGUCUUAGAAGGCUCUCAGUCACCUCCUGACCACUUGUUCCAGGAAGACAACAUCCCUCCCCAAAGUUCAAAGUUUUUGAACUAGUUUGGGCCAGAAGUUGAGCUCUGUAGGUAACCUCAACUGCAAAAAAAUAAGGUGGAAGUGCAAGGGAGUAGGAAGAUGAGAAAGGCCAAAAGAAAAGGAAGGAAACUUUGCAAGGGAUGCUGCGGCUUUCCCACUGGACAAAGAAGCAUAUCUAAUCUCUGGAUAAUGCCCUUCACAGAAAACCGUUUGGUGCUUAGGAAAUAGAAAACAAAAACAUCUUCACAGAGAAAAGGCAACUCAAUUCAAGCAAGUUUCAGAACAGGGCUGAGAGAAGAGAUUGAGGAGGUUAAAAAGGAACUAGUGUGUGUCUCUCCCUCCCUAAUCAGCCUCUUCCCCCACCACCUUUCCCUUUCCUGAGCAGAAUGUUCUCUGGCCUGGCAACAAUGGAGAAUUAAGGAGGGGAGUUUUAAACUGAACAGACCCUACUUUUAGAACAGUGUAGUAGUCUUUUUAGUACAUAGUAGGAUCUCUCUCUCUCUCUCUCUCUCUGUGUGCCCCUCCCUCCCUCUCACUCCCAAUCUAAAUGCCUACAUUCCUUGUACUCUC
RNAcentral lists this long non-coding RNA (989 nucleotides) under Monodelphis domestica (gray short-tailed opossum). RNAcentral describes it as "lncRNA (ENSMODG00000049429.1)". Lineage: Eukaryota; Metazoa; Chordata; Mammalia; Didelphimorphia; Didelphidae. The record is from RNAcentral.